UUCCUACGGGACGCAGCAGUAGGGAAUUUUCGUCAAUGGGCGCAAGCCUGAACGAGCAAUGCCGCGUGAACGAGGAAGGUCUUCGGAUCGUAAAACCCUGUUGUUGGAGAAGAAAGUGCGUGAGAGUAACUGUUCACGUUUCGACGGUAUCUAACCAGAAAGCCACGGCUAACUACGUGCCAGCAGCCGCGGUAAUACGUAGGUGGCAAGCGUUAUCCGGAUUUAUUGGGCGUAAAGGGAACGCAGGCGGUCUUUUAAGUCUGAUGUGAAAGCCUUCGGCUUAACCGGAGUAGUGCAUUGGAAAU
This 305-nucleotide ribosomal RNA is filed under the name uncultured bacterium. RNAcentral's name for it is "bacterial SSU rRNA". It matches the Rfam family "Bacterial small subunit ribosomal RNA", at positions 336 to 633 of the family's 1533-position model. The record is from RNAcentral.